RNAcentral lists this ribosomal RNA (460 nucleotides) under uncultured bacterium. RNAcentral describes it as "partial 16S ribosomal RNA". It matches the Rfam family "Bacterial small subunit ribosomal RNA", at positions 338 to 795 of the family's 1533-position model. The record is from RNAcentral.
CCUACGGGAGGCAGCAGUGAGGAAUAUUGGUCAAUGGGCUUACGCCUGAACCAGCCAAGUCGCGUGAGGGAAGACUGCCCUAUGGGUUGUAAACCUCUUUUGUCAGGGAGCAACGCCGGCUACGUGUAGCCGUACUGAGAGUACCUGAAGAAAAAGCAUCGGCUAACUCCGUGCCAGCAGCCGCGGUAAUACGGAGGAUGCGAGCGUUAUCCGGAUUUAUUGGGUUUAAAGGGUGCGUAGGCGGAAUGCCAAGUCAGCGGUAAAAUCGCGGGGCUCAACCUCGCUCCGCCGUUGAAACUGGCGUUCUUGAGUGGGCGAGAAGUAUGCGGAAUGCGUGGUGUAGCGGUGAAAUGCAUAGAUAUCACGCAGAACUCCGAUUGCGAAGGCAGCAUACCGGCGCCCAACUGACGCUGAAGCACGAAAGCGUGGGUAUCGAACAGGAUUAGAUACCCCAGUAGUC